RNAcentral lists this ribosomal RNA (253 nucleotides) under uncultured prokaryote. RNAcentral's name for it is "partial 16S ribosomal RNA". It matches the Rfam family "Bacterial small subunit ribosomal RNA", at positions 525 to 777 of the family's 1533-position model. The record is from RNAcentral.
ACGGAGGGGGUUAGCGUUGUUCGGAAUGACUGGGCGUAAAGCGCGCGUAGGCGGAUCGGUAAGUUGGGGGUGAAAUCCCGGGGCUCAACCCCGGAAUGGCCUUCAAGACUCCCGGUCUAGAGUUCGAGAGAGGUGGGUGGAAUUCCGAGUGUAGAGGUGAAAUUCGUAGAUAUUCGGAGGAACACCAGUGGCGAAGGCGGCCCACUGGCUCGACACUGACGCUGAGGUGCGAAAGCGUGGGGAGCAAACAGGA